RNAcentral lists this transfer RNA (59 nucleotides) under Bos taurus (domestic cattle). It matches the Rfam family "tRNA", at positions 7 to 64 of the family's 71-position model. From Rfam's summary of the family: Transfer RNA (tRNA) molecules are approximately 80 nucleotides in length. Their secondary structure includes four short double-helical elements and three loops (D, anti-codon, and T loops). Further hydrogen bonds mediate the characteristic L-shaped molecular structure. tRNAs have two regions of fundamental functional importance: the anti-codon, which is responsible for specific mRNA codon recognition, and the 3' end, to which the tRNAs corresponding amino acid is attached (by aminoacyl-tRNA synthetases). tRNAs cope with the degeneracy of the genetic code in two manners: having more than one tRNA (with a specific anti-codon) for a particular amino acid; and 'wobble' base-pairing, i.e. permitting non-standard base-pairing at the 3rd anti-codon position. Lineage: Eukaryota; Metazoa; Chordata; Mammalia; Artiodactyla; Bovidae. The record is from Rfam by way of RNAcentral. RNAcentral also lists the same sequence under 4 other names.
UUAGCUCAGACGGUAAAGUGUCUGUCUGCAAUGCAGGAGACCCAGGUUCAAUCCCUGGA